Long non-coding RNA from Peromyscus leucopus (white-footed mouse), 1100 nucleotides. RefSeq lists it as uncharacterized. The transcript has 2 exons. The record is from RefSeq and is a predicted model, not a curated record. Lineage: Eukaryota; Metazoa; Chordata; Mammalia; Rodentia; Cricetidae.
AGCAGGAUGGCCUCAAAUUCACAGAGAUCUGCCUGCAUCUGCCUCCGAGUGCUGGGAUCAAAGACGUGCCCCACCACCUCUGGGCCAGAUUUCUGAAUCAGGUCACUCAAACCCACAAAGAUCCACAUUGUUCUUACCUACAGUAUUUUCUUGCUCCAGGUACAAAUUACAUGAGGGUGGGAUAAAACUAGGUGAAUCACUGGCCAGAGGUUCUCAGUUUCUGUCCCCAAGCAGAGAAUCUAGAUUCAUAGGAAACUGAGCCUUUCAGGUAGCAAUCAGGGGUAUUUGACAAUAUUUGGCCUCUAACCAAUAUCUCAGCUGCUUUCACAAGUAGUUUUUGUUUUUCAGGGUGUGUUUGUGUCUGACAAGAUCUUGCCAAGAUAGCCCAAAAGAACCCAGAUCUCUCUAUGUGGACUAUGCUGGUCUCGAAGCAUGGCAAUCCUCCUGCCUCUGCCUUCCAAGCACUGGGAUUACAGUGCUUCAAAAUAGAAUUCCGUGUUGUAACACCAAAGCCAUCUUCCAACCAUUGGUGACCAAGAACUGAAGAGUCGGGGAGACCUGCAGAAACACAUCCUUCUCCUGAUGUUUGCAGCUGGGCAAGCUAAAAAUCGCUUAGAACAAACAGUACACGUCAUCAAGGGCAGAGAGUUUUCAACCUUCAUUAAACAUACUGCCAAGAGGAGGCCAGGAAAGAUAGCAUUCUAAACUAAGAUGGCAGGAAAUCCCUCCUUUGUGGAAAGAUGGGAGCCAAUGGACCACUGAUGUCUGUGCCUCCUCCUCUUUAAGAUGGGUUGUUAUUGUUGCUUGGAGCACAGUGUGUGUGUGUGUGUGUGUGUGUGUGUGUGUGUGUGUGUGUGUGUGUGUGUGUUGCUUGUGGCUUCUGUUUUAAAGAAACAAAACAAACCAAAAUCUAAGUUUGUAGCUUGUAGUCGGGGAAGAAGAAAAGCUGAUGAGGUUUCAAUGGGGGGAAAGUGGCGGUCAGAGCGCCUGACCACCGCCUUCCCUUGCAAAUCUGGUUUUCAUAUUCCCCCGCUCAGUAAUCACCCAAGGCUAUAACUGUCUCUGAAAUUAUUCAUUAAAGUCAUUUUCAGGGAUUCUCA